RNAcentral lists this ribosomal RNA (116 nucleotides) under Escherichia coli. The record is from RNAcentral. Lineage: Bacteria; Pseudomonadati; Pseudomonadota; Gammaproteobacteria; Enterobacterales; Enterobacteriaceae.
CCUGGCGGCCUUAGCGCGGUGGUCCCACCUGACCCCAUGCCGAACUCAGAAGUGAAACGCCGUAGCGCCGAUGGUAGUGUGGGGUCACCCCAUGCGAGAGUAGGGAACUGCCAAGC